Molecule: ribosomal RNA, 464 nt
Filed under: uncultured Klebsiella sp.
Lineage: Bacteria; Pseudomonadati; Pseudomonadota; Gammaproteobacteria; Enterobacterales; Enterobacteriaceae
Description: bacterial SSU rRNA
Rfam family: Bacterial small subunit ribosomal RNA
Source: RNAcentral
CCUACGGGCGGCAGCAGUGGGGAAUAUUGCACAAUGGGCGCAAGCCUGAUGCAGCCAUGCCGCGUGUGUGAAGAAGGCCUUCGGGUUGUAAAGCACUUUCAGCGGGGAGGAAGGCGGUGAGGUUAAUAACCUCAUCGAUUGACGUUACCCGCAGAAGAAGCACCGGCUAACUCCGUGCCAGCAGCCGCGGUAAUACGGAGGGUGCAAGCGUUAAUCGGAAUUACUGGGCGUAAAGCGCACGCAGGCGGUCUGUCAAGUCGGAUGUGAAAUCCCCGGGCUCAACCGGGGAACUGCAUUCGAAACUGGCAGGCUAGAGUCUUGUAGAGGGGGGUAGAAUUCCAGGUGUAGCGGUGAAAUGCGUAGAGAUCUGGAGGAAUACCGGUGGCGAAGGCGGCCCCCGGGACAAAGACUGACGCUCAGGUGCGAAAGCGUGGGGAGCAAACAGGAUUAGAACCCCGGUAGUC